GAUAUGGACGAUGGAUAUAUUCGUCCGUUCCAUGGUGCGUCCUUCGUCCAAUACAUGUCCUCUGCCAAUGUUUGAUAACCCGCCAUGUCUGUCUCCCGAGCCACAAUCCUAGGAUUUUUAUUUGUAGUAGAAAAGAUAAUUUUGUAACACCGUAAAAAAUGCACAGAAUGCACUUGCAAAAUCAAGGGAUUAACCCUCAGCCAUGAAAUUUAGAAAUAGUAACUAGAUUUAUGCAAAAGUUGAUGUGAUACAGAAAUCUCUAACAGUCAAGAGCUUUAUGCCAAGUGAAUGGCAUCAUCUUGCUGAAAAUAUUCUUGCAAAGGGAAGAAUCAAAGACAUGUGCAUAGUGUACUCCAACUACCAUUGCGGUGGCAACGAAGCUUGGCGAUUUCUUCGUGAAGAACAUCGUGGCCGGGCUGUAGCUUCUUAGUGAUCUCCAACUCCUGGUCUUUUAAAGCCAAAAGUUGGGUCGUUUUGUCCUCUAGCAAGCGUCGCUGACGUUGCAAGAUUUCAAAUUGUUCCUGAUAUUCUUGACUACAGCUCAGGUCAGUACGCAAUUUCUGGUUUUCUAGCUGAAGGUUAUCGCGAGCCAUUCUCAUUUCAAGAACUAGCUGCUGCAGCCGGGUUAUUUCCUCCACGUCGUUCUGGAGCUGGGUUGACGGAUCCGAAAAUCCACGUAGGGAGAAAGUAAAGGAUUAAUUCUCUGAAAGCCAUUUUGAAGAACGUCGGAUGCUAUUAUGUCAGCUGACAAUGAAAUGGCAGCCAUCAUCUCCAUUUUCGUUCACUAACUUUGAUUAGAAAAUGUUUUUCCACACGGAAAUGAAAAAGUGCGGAAAUUAAUAUUACCAAGAAAUUUCCUGAUACCCACCUAUCCACAGUCUCAAUGGCAUUAUGACGAGUUUUCCGCCGACGAUAGCAACGUGACGUUUGAUAUUUGGGAUCAAAGUAAAUUAAUCAUUGAAGAGGCUAUAUCUGCAGAAGAGGCUGUAUUCUGUAGUACGCAAAAAAGAGUGGUACGCGUAAACACCGGGAAAAAUUAGAAAACUGCAAGAACAAACCGUCAUGAUGCAGAACAACAGCUAUGUACACACUAUUUCUCGUGCUUUUGUGUAAUUUUAUGUGGCUACAAAAAUUGAUUCUCCCGUGUCACCUGUAAUUUGCUUCUCCGCUUUACGCGCUACAAUUAGCGCCAUAGAAAUAGAAUUAACAAGUUCACGUAAAUGCACCCCCCCUUUAAAAAAUUUGCCAUUGUUUCAAAAACUCACAUUUUGUGGUUACAAACUUCGAUGAAAGAUGGCGCUCUUGUAUCUUGUCUUCUGCUUGAAGUCUGUGUAACUUGUGAAACUUAUCGUAAAUGGUUUGCUAAUAUUCGUUAAUUGUGUUACAUCCAAUGGAAAGUUCGACAUUAA
Molecule: long non-coding RNA, 1409 nt
Organism: Daphnia carinata
Lineage: Eukaryota; Metazoa; Arthropoda; Branchiopoda; Diplostraca; Daphniidae
Exons: 6
Source: RefSeq, a predicted model, not a curated record